RNAcentral lists this unclassified non-coding RNA (4085 nucleotides) under Hevea brasiliensis (rubber tree). The record is from RNAcentral. Lineage: Eukaryota; Viridiplantae; Streptophyta; Magnoliopsida; Malpighiales; Euphorbiaceae.
AGAAGAAGAAGAAGAAGAAAAAUACCCUUAGAUCUAAACUUGUUAAUUUCCUCACUAAUGGCUUCUUUAACCCUCUCUAAAUCCUACAGAGCUCGGGCUUAUCACAUUUUUCCGAGACUUUCACUCCCCUAUUUCCUCAGUCCCCUCCAUUUCUGCACUUUAACCCAAGAUACAAUCUCCUCUGUCACAGAAAUCCCGCCACCUAUUCCACAACCCCAAUCCGAAACCGAGUCUCCAAAUGCGGCUCCAGAGAAUCAAAAGCAGCAGCUAAUCCUGCGUGGUAAGCGUCCGGACCCUGAAAAAUUAGAGGAUAUAAUAUGCAGAAUGAUGGCCAGUCGGGCCUGGACGACGCGGUUGCAGAACUCAAUCCGGGAUUUGGUUCCCGAAUUUGACCACUCUUUAGUCUAUAAUGUUCUGCACGGUGCUCGUAACUCUGAGCACGCCCUCCAGUUCUUCAGGUGGGUUGAGCGGGCUGGGUUGUUUCGGCACGACCGUGAGACCCAUACGAAGAUUAUUGAGAUUUUGGGUCGAGCUUCGAAGCUCAAUCACGCUCGUUGUAUUCUCUUGGAUAUGCCAAAGAAUGGGGUUGAGUGGGAUGAGGAUAUGUUUGUAGUGCUAAUUGAGAGUUAUGGUAAGGCUGGGAUAGUUCAAGAAGCUGUUAAGAUAUUUCAGAAAAUGAAUGAAUUGGGUGUGGAGAGGUCAGUUAAGAGUUAUGAUACUUUGUUUAAGGUGAUCUUGAGGAGAGGGAGAUAUAUGAUGGCUAAGAGGUUUUUUAAUAAGAUGCUGAGUGAAGGGAUUGAGCCAACUAGGCACACUUACAACAUUAUGCUCUGGGGUUUCUUCUUGUCAUCGAGGUUGGAAACAGCAAUGAGGUUUUAUGAGGAUAUGAAGACUAGAGGGAUAUGCCCAGACGUGGUUACUUAUAAUACAAUGAUCAAUGGGUAUUAUAAAUUUAGAAAGAUGGAGGAGGCUGAGAAGUUGUUUGUGGAGAUGAAGGGGAAAAACAUAGCUCCUACAGUUAUUAGUUAUACGACUAUGAUUAAAGGGUAUGUUUCUGUAGAUAGAGUGGAUGAUGGGCUGAGAUUGCUUGAGGAGAUGAAGUCAAUUGGUAUUAAGCCUAAUGCUCACACAUAUUCAACUUUGUUGCCUGGGCUUUGUAAUGCUGGGAAAAUGACAGAGGCAAAAGAGAUUUUGAAGGAGAUGGUAGGGAGGCAUCUUGCUCCUAAGGAUAAUUCCAUCUUUAUAAGUUUGUUAUCUAGCCAGUGCAAGGCUGGAGAUUUGAGAGCUGCUGAGGAUGUGCUGAAGGCAAUGAUACGAUUGAGCAUACCGACAGAGGCUGGCCAUUAUGGUGUCUUGAUAGAAAAUUUUUGUAGGGCUGGGGAGUAUGAUUGGGCGAUAAGGUUGUUGGAUAAGUUAAUUGAGAAAGAAAUUAUUUUGAGGCCCCGGAAUACUUUGGAAAUGGGGUCUGGUGCUUAUAACUCUAUGAUUCAGUAUCUGUGCGGUCAUGGGCAAACAGGAAAGGCAGAAAUCUUUUUCCGGCAGUUGAUGAAAAAAGGUGUUCAGGACCCAAAUGCCUUUAAUAAUUUGAUCCGUGGGCAUUCAAAAGAAGGGUCUCCUGAUUCUGCUUUUGAAAUUAUAAAGAUCAUGGCUAGGAGAGGGGUCCCUCGAGAUGCAGAUGCAUACAAGUUGCUUAUUGAAAGCUACCUUAGGAAAGGUGAGCCAGCUGAUGCCAAAACAGCUUUGGAUGCUAUGAUUGAAGAAGGGCAUGUCCCAGAUUCAUCAGUAUUUAGGUCAGUGAUGGAGAGUCUGUUUGAAGAUGGGAGGGUUCAAACUGCUAGCCGUGUUAUGAAGAGUAUGGUGGAGAAGGGGGUGAAGGAGAAUAUGGACUUGGUAGCUAAGAUUUUGGAAGCUCUCCUUAUGAGAGGUCAUGUUGAGGAAGCCCUUGGACGAAUUGAGCUACUCAUGCAUAGUGGGUGUCAUGUCAAUUUUGAUGAUCUUCUGUCUGUUCUUAGUGAGAAAGGCAAGACCAUUGCUGCUGUUAAGUUGUUAGACUUUGCAUCAGAGAGGGACUUUAAUGUAGAAUUUAAAAGCUGUGAUAAAGUGUUGGAUGCUCUCUUAGCUGCAGGGAAGACCCUUAAUGCAUAUUCAAUACUGAGUAAAAUCAUGGAGAAAGGAGGGGUUACAGAUUGGAGUAGCUGUGAGGAUUUGAUUAAAAGCCUUAAUCAGGAGGGGAACACAAAGCAGGCUGAUAUUCUCUCAAGAAUGAUAAAGGGACGGGAGAAAUCUCGUGAAAACAAGAAAGGAAAGAAACAAUCUUCUUUUGCAUUUUAAUUAAAGUGCUUUUAAUUUUUUUUUUUGUUCAUUGGUUAGAAUAUAGUUGAAUGUUCAAUGGAAAAUUAUUACUAGCUUCAUUGAGUAGAAUAAAUUUUGAGAAAAGCAAUGAAAAAUGUUCUGUUUAAUCAUUUUGAAGAUAGGGUGUUAUCCCUUCAAACAGGAAAUAUGUUUCUCUGUUGAAUUAUUUUUGAAGAGUUAGUGAAUUAGGCAGGAUAUUCUCAACUGAGAGAUGGUUCUAAUGCUCAAGGAUUGCAGAUGAUGAAUGGCUGCUGAUCAUAUUUGUUACUAAUAUCAUCCUUGAAAUUAGUUCCUUUUUACACACCGUGAUUGUUAUGUAGUUAUUUUAUUACUUUCUGAACUCUAAAACUGCAAUCAACUAUUAUAUUGUGAUAGCUUGCUGCAGUGGGGUAUAGUUUUUUGCUUAUUUGCCAAGUUCUGAGAACAAAAAAAUUUAUUCCCUCAGAGGCUAGCUUAUUCUUGUCUAACUGCAUUUCAAUAAUCUGUGCUAUAGAUAUGCUGAUUCCUGUGUAGCGGUAGGCUAGAACCAGAGGUGAGCAUUAGUGGAGGAUGCUGAAUAGUGGAAUAAUUGCGUUCUGUGACAUUGGGGUUGCUGUGCCCAUGAAGCAAAAUGACUAUUUUUAUUUUUUUCCUGCUCUGCAUACAAGAUGCACUUGUAUUAUUUUUGGUAUGACAGAAAUCAUAAGAUAUGAAUGUCACAGAAAUAUUAGAUUCACAUGUCACAGAAAUUGAUAUUCACUUUCUGAAAAGUUUGACCUGAAUAUGAAUGCAAGAAAUAUUAUUUUUAAAUAUAUCAAUAAUCUUCAGUGUUUCUAUUUGCAUGGCUAUGUUUCCUUUAUUUUUCGUAUAAUAAUGUAAUUUUCCUUCUAUAUAUGUUUAUAUUAUUCUUACGGCUAAGGAAUGGUUGCAGCAUCCUCUUUUCAAGUAUAAAAAAGAUUUUAUCUAAUUCUGUCUGUAAGUAUCUGGGGUGGUUUUCUACUGUGGCUUCGCUUGGAGGAUAUCAUCUAAUGGUUUGCAUCGCAUCUCAUCAUCGCAAGACGCACAAGUUCCAACCUUCUCCGUCCAAAACCAAAAGCCCAAAAGUUGGUAAAGCCAGAAUAGCAGCCCACGCAACUUCAGUCCAUAGCUUGGGCGUAGCAAUUCAUUAGUUUCCAAACCACAAAAUUAACCUAUCAAAUUGGUACCACAUAGGAGUGCCAAAUAUCAGCACCCAAUCACAAGAUGACUUCUCACAAGCUGCUCAAGAAUUUCAAAGAAGCCACUGGGAACAAGAGCUAGUAAAAAAACCAGACCAAGAUGAGACCUAAAACAGUCCACACCAAAGUUUAUGAGCAAAUGUACAAUCCCUCAAAGUACGUAACACAUCCUCAUUAAGAGCACCACACAGGGCAAAGCACAGCUAGAUCAUUAGCCAUAACACGGACACACCCCAAAUAUUAACUAGGAUCUUGCCUUAGGCAACUAGCCAAAAAAAACAUCCAAGCCCCUUGAAAGAUCAAUUAAACCUCCAAAGAAAACCAUCAUCCUAUUACAUUUAUAUUUCUAAAUUUAAAAUAUAAUUUUCAAAUAAUCAACAUAAAUCAAAACUAAUUAUUAACAUCAAUCUGAUGUCUCAUUAUGCCAUUUGUCAAUGUGCUUCCAAUUAUAAAUAGCUGCAAGUUGAUCUGUACUUUGUGAAACUUGUUUGGUGCAGGAAUUGGAUGGCAGAGCAAUUCGGGUCUCUGUUGCAGAAG